GAUGAACGCUGGCGGCGUGCCUAAUACAUGCAAGUCGAGCGAACAGACGAGGAGCUUGCUCCUCUGACGUUAGCGGCGGACGGGUGAGUAACACGUGGAUAACCUACCUAUAAGACUGGGAUAACUUCGGGAAACCGGAGCUAAUACCGGAUAACAUGUUGAACCGCAUGGUUCAACAGUGAAAGACGGUUUUGCUGUCACUUAUAGAUGGAUCCGCGUCGCAUUAGCUAGUUGGUAAGGUAACGGCUUACCAAGGCAACGAUGCGUAGCCGACCUGAGAGGGUGAUCGGCCACACUGGAACUGAGACACGGUCCAGACUCCUACGGGAGGCAGCAGUAGGGAAUCGUCCGCAAUGGGCGAAAGCCUGACGGAGCAACGCCGCGUGAGUGAAGAAGGUCUUCGGAUCGUAAAACUCUGUUAUUAGGGAAGAACAAAUGUGUAAGUAACUAUGCACGUCUUGACGGUACCUAAUCAGAAAGCCACGGCUAACUACGUG
Molecule: ribosomal RNA, 497 nt
Filed under: uncultured bacterium
Lineage: Bacteria
Description: partial 16S ribosomal RNA
Rfam family: Bacterial small subunit ribosomal RNA
Source: RNAcentral